This 78-nucleotide transfer RNA is filed under the name Kineosporia sp. NBRC 101677. RNAcentral describes it as "tRNA-Ser". It matches the Rfam family "tRNA". Rfam says of the family: Transfer RNA (tRNA) molecules are approximately 80 nucleotides in length. Lineage: Bacteria; Bacillati; Actinomycetota; Actinomycetes; Kineosporiales; Kineosporiaceae. The record is from RNAcentral.
GGCCCCGGUAGCUCAAUCAGGUAGAGCUCCUAGCUGCUUGCGGGUGGUUACGCGUUCAAAUCGCGUCCGGGGCCACCA